CUCAGUUACAGACCUUAAUUGGGACAAC
RNAcentral lists this non-coding RNA (28 nucleotides) under Mus musculus (house mouse). The record is from RNAcentral. Lineage: Eukaryota; Metazoa; Chordata; Mammalia; Rodentia; Muridae.